This 584-nucleotide ribosomal RNA is filed under the name uncultured bacterium. RNAcentral's name for it is "bacterial SSU rRNA". It matches the Rfam family "Bacterial small subunit ribosomal RNA", at positions 102 to 682 of the family's 1533-position model. The record is from RNAcentral.
ACGGGUGAGUAAUGCCUAGGAAUCUGCCUGGUAGUGGGGGACAACGUUUCGAAAGGAACGCUAAUACCGCAUACGUCCUACGGGAGAAAGCAGGGGACCUUCGGGCCUUGCGCUAUCAGAUGAGCCUAGGUCGGAUUCGCUAGUUGGUGAGGUAAUGGCUCACCAAGGCGACGAUCCGUAACUGGUCUGAGAGGAUGAUCAGUCACACUGGAACUGAGACACGGUCCAGACUCCUACGGGAGGCAGCAGUGGGGAAUAUUGGACAAUGGGCGAAAGCCUGAUCCAGCCAUGCCGCGUGUGUGAAGAAGGUCUUCGGAUUGUAAAGCACUUUAAGUUGGGAGGAAGGGUUGUAGAUUAAUACUCUGCAAUUUUGACGUUACCGACAGAAUAAGCACCGGCUAACUCUGUGCCAGCAGCCGCGGUAAUACAGAGGGUGCAAGCGUUAAUCGGAAUUACUGGGCGUAAAGCGCGCGUAGGUGGUUUGUUAAGUUGGAUGUGAAAUCCCCGGGCUCAACCUGGGAACUGCAUCCAAAACUGGCAAGCUGGAGUAUGGUAGAGGGUGGUGGAAUUUCCUGUGUAGCGGU